This 414-nucleotide ribosomal RNA is filed under the name uncultured bacterium. Its description in RNAcentral is "bacterial SSU rRNA". It matches the Rfam family "Bacterial small subunit ribosomal RNA", at positions 355 to 786 of the family's 1533-position model. The record is from RNAcentral.
UGGGGAAUCUUAGACAAUGGGCGCAAGCCUGAUCUAGCCAUGCCGCGUGUGUGAUGAAGGUCUUAGGAUCGUAAAGCACUUUCGCCAGGGAUGAUAAUGACAGUACCUGGUAAAGAAACCCCGGCUAACUCCGUGCCAGCAGCCGCGGUAAUACGGAGGGGGUUAGCGUUGUUCGGAAUUACUGGGCGUAAAGCGUACGUAGGCGGAUUGGAAAGUUGGGGGUGAAAUCCCAGGGCUCAACCCUGGAACUGCCUCCAAAACUAUCAGUCUAGAGUUCGAGAGAGGUGAGUGGAAUUCCAAGUGUAGAGGUGAAAUUCGUAGAUAUUUGGAGGAACACCAGUGGCGAAGGCGGCUCACUGGCUCGAUACUGACGCUGAGGUACGAAAGUGUGGGGAGCAAACAGGAUUAGAUACC